CUUAAGGUAAUAAACUGGGAGUUCAAUCGCUGCACAGCAUAAUCGAGGCCAGAUCACAAGCUGGGAUCAGCCAUCAGCCGAGGGGCCAGGUGGCUUCUCCGUGUUCUGUGGUCAACGACCUCCUGUGCGGCGUGUGCUUGGUCAUAAAGGAACAGGUGUGACAGGUGGGUAAGUCACUGUGACAGCUACCCACACACAGACAAGCACAUUCUCAAAGCACAUAUCCCUCUGACCUCAAAUCCACACACCAAGGGAAACAGACCUAGUGAGAGUUUUCUUAAAAAUAAUUUCAAAGAGCUGGCUUGAAUUAAAAUUUAAAAAUGAAUUAAAGUCUUUUGAUUCCCUUGUCAGAAAAGGACUUUGUGUUUAGUCUCCUGAUCUGCAGAAGGAUACGCCCCUCACCGGAGGGGGCCAUGGAAAGUUGGCUCACUGCUUGUGACUCCCUGAGGUGGCGUGGGGCGUGAGCAAGAGCCUGGGCUCUGUGGUCUGACACAGCUCUGAGCGCCUCUCCCGCCACCUGUCAGAUGUGCGACCUCGGAAAUCUUACAGCAAAUCAGGCUGCUAAGCCUCAGAAAACACAAGGCUCUUCCAAAUUUCAGAGUACAACAAUGUGAUGGGGUCAGAAGAGAAAAUGCUGUAGAGCAAUGGGAAAGGGAAACCUGUAGAAACUGGCGUUGGACAAGAGAGCAAAGUUCAGGGAGAAAUUCUCUCCCAUACUGGCAACCAAAACAAGACUCACCCUGAAUCUGACACAGCUGGUCCACUCAGUCCCUUCCACCUCAGUGACUUUUAAGGGUCACAAAAAGCUCUUCAGGCUGAACUAAGCAAAUCUCGGGAAAGUUCAGGAAAAAGAUGCAGUGACCGACACACUUUGUCUUGGUCAUGCCGUCGCUAGCCAUCUCUCCUCAGAAAAGCAUUCCUCUAGUUCGAGGGAUGAGCUGACAGGAAACAAGUUUUAAGUCAAAUCAAAU
This 971-nucleotide long non-coding RNA is filed under the name Heterocephalus glaber (naked mole-rat). RNAcentral describes it as "lncRNA (ENSHGLG00100043618.1)". The record is from RNAcentral. Lineage: Eukaryota; Metazoa; Chordata; Mammalia; Rodentia; Bathyergidae.